CUUUUUUAUGGCUCAGGAUGAACGCUAGCUACAGGCUUAACACAUGCAAGUCGAGGGGCAGCGGGAUUGAAGCUUGCUUCAAUUGCCGGCGACCGGCGCACGGGUGAGUAACGCGUAUCCAACCUUCCGUACACUCAGGGAUAGCCUUUCGAAAGAAAGAUUAAUACCUGAUAGUAUCUUAAGCACACAUGUAAUUAAGAUUAAAGAUUUAUCGGUGUACGAUGGGGAUGCGUUCCAUUAGGUAGUAGGCGGGGUAACGGCCCACCUAGCCAACGAUGGAUAGGGGUUCUGAGAGGAAGGUCCCCCACAUUGGAACUGAGACACGGUCCAAACUCCUACGGGAGGCAGCAGUGAGGAAUAUUGGUCAAUGGACGAGAGUCUGAACCAGCCAAGUAGCGUGAAGGAUGAAGGUCCUACGGAUUGUAAACUUCUUUUAUAGGGGAAUAAACCCUCCCACGUGUGGGAGCUUGUAUGUACCUUAUGAAUAAGCAUCGGCUAACUCCGUGCCAGCAGCCGCGGUAAUACGGAGGAUGCGAGCGUUAUCCGGAUUUAUUGGGUUUAAAGGGAGCGCAGACGGGUCGUUAAGUCAGCUGUGAAAGUUUGGGGCUCAACCUUAAAAUUGCAGUUGAUACUGGCGUCCUUGAGUGCGGUUGAGGUGUGCGGAAUUCGUGGUGUAGCGGUGAAAUGCUUAGAUAUCACGAAGAACUCCGAUUGCGAAGGCAGCACUCUAAUCCGUAACUGACGUUCAUGCUCGAAAGUGUGGGUAUCAAACAGGAUUAGAUACCCUGGUAGUCCACACGGUAAACGAUGGAUACUCGCUGUUGGCGAUAUACUGUCAGCGGCUUAGCGAAAGCGUUAAGUAUCCCACCUGGGGAGUACGCCGGCAACGGUGCAACUCAAAUGAAUUGACGGA
RNAcentral lists this ribosomal RNA (913 nucleotides) under uncultured Bacteroidota bacterium. Its description in RNAcentral is "bacterial SSU rRNA". It matches the Rfam family "Bacterial small subunit ribosomal RNA", at positions 12 to 917 of the family's 1533-position model. The record is from RNAcentral. Lineage: Bacteria; Pseudomonadati; Bacteroidota.